GCCGAUUCAAAACACGUGUCAAAAUCCGGCGUCAACAUAUGCCCCCCAGUUUCGGAGUAAAAUGCAACUUUUACUUUGAAAUUCUUCUCAAUUUUAACUCUUUCUUCGAGGUAAGCGCGGCAAAGACUCCUUUCAGUUUCGCAGUCUUCUAUCUGAUGAUUACAAUCUUUUUGAACUAGGCGCCCAAGGCAACCGCUCCUCCGAAAUUUGUGUAGACGGUGCGGUAAAAAUCCUUCCUUUACCCUUCUCUUGAUCCGUCUUUAAAUACAUGCAUCCUCCACCGCUUCUUCUCCACGGGCUCAGAAAUUCUUCUUUCCCCGGCGAACCAUCUUCCAUCACACUCUGGCGCCCCUUCAUCUUCGAGCCGCAUUCCUCUGGCAAUCCUUCUUCCA
Molecule: long non-coding RNA, 392 nt
Filed under: Setaria viridis
Lineage: Eukaryota; Viridiplantae; Streptophyta; Magnoliopsida; Poales; Poaceae
Description: long non-coding RNA (SVIR_LNC006644)
Source: RNAcentral